UGGGGAAUAUUGCACAAUGGGCGAAAGCCUGAUGCAGCGACGCCGCGUGAGGGAUGACGGCCUUCGGGUUGUAAACCUCUUUCAGCAGGGAAGAAGCGAAAGUGACGGUACCUGCAGAAGAAGCGCCGGCUAACUACGUGCCAGCAGCCGCGGUAAUACGUAGGGCGCAAGCGUUGUCCGGAAUUAUUGGGCGUAAAGAGCUCGUAGGCGGUUAGUCGCGUCUGCUGUGAAAACUCGAGGCUCAACCUCGGGCUUGCAGUGGGUACGGGCUGACUAGAGUGCGGUAGGGGUGACUGGAAUUCCUGGUGUAGCGGUGGAAUGCGCAGAUAUCAGGAGGAACACCGAUGGCGAAGGCAGGUCACUGGGCCGCAACUGACGCUGAGGAGCGAAAGCAUGGGGAGCGAACAGGAUUAGAUACCCUGGUAGUCCAUGCCGUAAACGUUGGGCACUAGGUGUGGGGUCCAUUCCACGGAUU
RNAcentral lists this ribosomal RNA (475 nucleotides) under uncultured bacterium. RNAcentral describes it as "partial 16S ribosomal RNA". It matches the Rfam family "Bacterial small subunit ribosomal RNA", at positions 355 to 840 of the family's 1533-position model. The record is from RNAcentral.